CCUACGGGAGGCAGCAGUGAGGAAUAUUGGUCAAUGGGCGGAAGCCUGAACCAGCCAAGUCGCGUGAGGGAUGAAGGUUCUAUGGAUCGUAAACCUCUUUUAUAAGGGAAUAAAGUGCGGGACGUGACCCGUGUUGUAUGUACCUUAUGAAUAAGGAUCGGCUAACUCCGUGCCAGCAGCCGCGGUAAUACGGAGGAUCCGAGCGUUAUCCGGAUUUAUUGGGUUUAAAGGGUGCGUAGGCGGCCUGUUAAGUCAGCGGUGAAAGUCUGUGGCGCAACCCUGGAAUUGCCGUUGAAACUGGGAUGCUUGAGUAUGUUAGAGGCAGGCGGAAUGCGUGGUGUAGCGGUGAAAUGCUUAGAUAUCACGCAGAACCCCGAUUGCGAAGGCAGCCUGCCAAGCCAUGACUGACGCUGAUGCACGAAAGCGUGGGGAUCAAACAGGAUUAGAUACCCGAGUAGUC
Molecule: ribosomal RNA, 460 nt
Filed under: uncultured bacterium
Lineage: Bacteria
Description: partial 16S ribosomal RNA
Rfam family: Bacterial small subunit ribosomal RNA
Source: RNAcentral